Molecule: long non-coding RNA, 938 nt
Organism: Cuculus canorus (common cuckoo)
Lineage: Eukaryota; Metazoa; Chordata; Aves; Cuculiformes; Cuculidae
Exons: 3
Source: RefSeq, a predicted model, not a curated record
CUCCAGGACCUCCUGGACCACUGCCGAGAAGGUCUCGGGGGGACCGUGGGAGGUUCUCAAGAACUUCAGGACUUCUAUCUCAAAGAGGUGGAGGUGGGAAAGGAGGAGAUGAGGAGGUUCUGAGGGCUUCUGGAGGUCAGAGGUGGAACAGCGGUGGCUUUGAGGAGGUCCUGAGGGCUUCUGGAGGUCAGAGGUGGAACAGCGGUGGCUUUGAGGAGGUCCUGAGGGCUUCUGGAGGUCAGAGGUGGAACAGCAGUGGCUUUGAGGAGGUCCUGAGGGCUUCUGGAGGUCAAUGGACCUCCAAAGGUGGAACGUCGGUGGCUUUGAGGAGGUCCUGAGGGCUUCUGGAGGUCAGAGAUGGAACGUCGGUGGCUUUGAGGAGGUCCUGAGGGCUUCUGGAGAUCAAUGGACCUCCAGAGGUGGAACGUCGGUGGCUUUGAGGAGGUCCUGAGGGCUUCUGGAGGUCAAUGGACCUCCAAAGGUGGAACGUCGGUGGCUUUGAGGAGGUCCUGAGGGCUUCUGGAGGUCAGAGGUGGAACAGCGGUGGCUUUGAGGAGGUCCUGAGGGCUUCUGGAGGUCAAUGGACCUCCGGAGGUGGAACAUCAGUGGCUUUGAGGAGGUCCUGAGGGCUUCUGGAGGUCAAUGGACCUCCAGAGGUGGAACGUCGGUGGCUUUGAGGAGGUCCUGAGGGCUUCUGGAGGUCAGAGGUGGAACAGCGGUGGCUUUGAGGAGGUCCUGAGGGCUUCUGGAGGUCAGAGGUGGAACAGCGGUGGCUUUGAGGAGGUCCUGAGGGCUUCUGGAGGUCAAUGGACCUCCAGAGGUGGAACAUCGGUGGCUUUGAGGAGGUUCUGAGGGCUUCUGGAGGUCAAUGGACCUCCAGAGGUGGAACAUCGGUGGCUUUGAGGAGGUCCUGAGGGCUUCUGGAGAUCAGAGGUGGA